Molecule: long non-coding RNA, 444 nt
Filed under: Carica papaya (papaya)
Lineage: Eukaryota; Viridiplantae; Streptophyta; Magnoliopsida; Brassicales; Caricaceae
Description: long non-coding RNA (CPAP_LNC002121)
Source: RNAcentral
CAUGCUCUCCUGAGGAUCACAUAGCUAGCAUGCAUUGGCACAACAUUACAGUAUAUUAUGUCCAUGUAGUUGCCAGUAGUAAAGGUCACCAUAAUUUGUUUGGUGACUUUUACUUUGCCACACUCAUUCAACCACUCGAGCUAGUAUGGAUUGGGGUGGUCUAUGCACAUCAACUCUAAUCUCUCCACAAGCAAGGUGUUUGCAACAUUAUCAUAGCUUCCUCCAUCGAUGAUCAUGCCAUACACCUUGUUGUUGAUUAGGCAGCGAGUGUGGAAUAUGCUUUUCUUUUACUCAUGAUCCUCGCCCUUAAUGUGUAAGUUAAGAGUUCUUCAAAUAAUGAAGGCAUUACUCCAACUGAGAGUUCCUUCAAUCGAUCGAGACAUGAUGAAGUACCUACAAGAAAAGGUUAGUGAAAGCAAAUAAACUCUCUCCCUCACCUUCACU